Molecule: ribosomal RNA, 435 nt
Filed under: uncultured bacterium
Lineage: Bacteria
Description: partial 16S ribosomal RNA
Rfam family: Bacterial small subunit ribosomal RNA
Source: RNAcentral
AGCGAACGCUGGCGGCAGGCUUAACACAUGCAAGUCGAACGGGCAUAGCAAUAUGUCAGUGGCAGACGGGUGAGUAACGCGGGGGAACGUACCUUUUGGUUCGGAACAACACAGGGAAACUUGUGCUAAUACCGGAUAAGCCCUUACGGGGAAAGAUUUAUCGCCGAAAGAUCGGCCCGCGUCUGAUUAGCUAGUUGGUAGGGUAAUGGCCUACCAAGGCGACGAUCAGUAGCUGGUCUGAGAGGAUGAUCAGCCACAUUGGGACUGAGACACGGCCCAAACUCCUACGGGAGGCAGCAGUGGGGAAUAUUGGACAAUGGGCGAAAGCCUGAUCCAGCCAUGCCGCGUGAGUGAUGAAGGCCGUAGGGUUGUAAAGCGCUUUUGUGCGGGAAGAUAAUGACGGUACCGCAAGAAUAAGCCCCGGCUAACUUCGUG